GUUAGAUUUUAAUUUUUAUAACUAAAAGUUUUAUUUUAGCUGGAUUAAUAAGUAUUUAAUUUAUUUAUAUGUAAAUUUUAGUGGGGGUAAAUUUUAAUUUUAGAGAGAUUAAGAUUAAUUAAAGAUUUGCAGUAUAUAAUUUUAAAAUUAGAAGAAAUUUUGAUUUAGAAAUUUAUUUAAAUAUUAACAAAAAUUGUGCCAGCAGUUGCGGUUAUACAAUUAAUAUUAUUUAUUAUUUUAAAUUAGUAAUUAAAAGUAAUUUUUUUUUAUUAAUGAUAUUAAAUUAUUAGGUGAAAUUUUUAAUUUAUUAUUUAAUAAAUUUUUGUGUUUGAAGUUAUUAAAUUUUUUUAAGGACUAGGAUUAGAUACCCUAUUAUAAAAAUGUAAAUAUUUAGUAUUGGAUUAAUAAAAGUUAUAGUCUUUAAAAUUAAAAAAUUUGGCGGUAUUUUAGUCUAUUCAGAGGAACCUGUUCUAUAAUUGAUAGUCCACGAUUUGUAUGUAUUUAUAUUUAAAGUUUAUAUAUCGUUGUAGUUGAAUAUUUUUUUAGAAUUUAAAUAUUCAAUAUUUUUUAUUAAAAAAUAAAUCAAAUCAAGGUGUAGCUUAUAUAUAAAAAGAAAUGGGUUACAAUAAUUUAUGGUUAUGGAUAUUUAAUUUUGAAUUAAUUUGAAAUUGGAUUUGAUAGUAAUUUUUUUUUGUAUAUUAAAUAUGAUUAAAGCUCUAAAAUAUGCACAUAUUGCCCGUCGCUUUCAAAUAAAUUGAAAUAAGUCGUAACAAAGUAAAUGUACUGGAAAGUGUAUUUAGUUGG
This 804-nucleotide non-coding RNA is filed under the name Staphylinidae sp. BMNH 1274241. The record is from RNAcentral. Lineage: Eukaryota; Metazoa; Arthropoda; Insecta; Coleoptera; Staphylinidae.